AGCGAACGCUGGCGGCAGGCCUAACACAUGCAAGUCGAACGAACCUUUCGGGGUUAGUGGCGGACGGGUGAGUAACACGUGGGAACGUGCCUUUAGGUUCGGAAUAACUCAGGGAAACUUGUGCUAAUACCGAAUGUGCCCUUCGGGGGAAAGAUUUAUCGCCUUUAGAGCGGCCCCGUCUGAUUAGCUAGUUGGUUGAGGUAAUGGCUCACCAAGGCGACGAUCAGUAGCUGGUCUGAGAGGAUGAUCAGCCACAUUGGGACUGAGACACGGCCCAAACUCCUACGGGAGGCAGCAGUGGGGAAUCUUGCGCAAUGGGCGAAAGCCUGACGCAGCCAUGCCGCGUGAAUGAUGAAGGUCUUAGGAUUGUAAAAUUCUUUCACCGGGGACGAUAAUGACGGUACCCGGAGAAGAAGCCCCGGCUAACUUCGUG
RNAcentral lists this ribosomal RNA (433 nucleotides) under uncultured bacterium. RNAcentral describes it as "partial 16S ribosomal RNA". It matches the Rfam family "Bacterial small subunit ribosomal RNA", at positions 29 to 507 of the family's 1533-position model. The record is from RNAcentral.